Molecule: ribosomal RNA, 505 nt
Filed under: uncultured bacterium
Lineage: Bacteria
Description: bacterial SSU rRNA
Rfam family: Bacterial small subunit ribosomal RNA
Source: RNAcentral
AGCGAACGCUAGCGGCGUGCCUAAACACAUGCAAGUUGAGCGAGAAAGGGGACUUCGGUUCCCUUAGUAAAGCGGCGCACGGGUGAGUAACGCGUGGAUAAUCUACCCUUGAGUGGGGAAUAACCCGCCGAAAGGCGGACUAAUUCCGCAUAAGACCACAUUACAUAAGUAGUGCGGUUAAAGGUAGGGACCCUUCGGGGCCUAUUGCUCGGGGAUGAGUCCGCGUCCCAUCAGUUAGUUGGUGAGGUAACGGCUCACCAAGGCAAAGACAGGUAGCUGGUCUGAGAGGACGAUCAGUCACACUGGCACUGGAACACGGGCCAGACUCCUACGGGAGGCAGCAGUGGGGAAUAUUGCGCAAUGGGCGAAAGCCUGACGCAGCGACGCCGCGUGAGGGAAGAAGGCCUUCGGGUCGUAAACCUCUGUCGGGGGGGAAGAAAGUUACGGCGGUUAAUAGCCGUCGUGAUUGACGGUACCCCCGGAGGAAGCAUCGGCUAACUACGUG